Molecule: ribosomal RNA, 928 nt
Filed under: uncultured bacterium
Lineage: Bacteria
Description: bacterial SSU rRNA
Rfam family: Bacterial small subunit ribosomal RNA
Source: RNAcentral
AGAGUUUGAUCCUGGCUCAGGACGAACGCUGGCGGCGUGCCUAACACAUGCAAGUCGAGCGAGGGCAGCCUUCGGGCUGACCCGAGCGGCGGACGGGUGAGUAACACGUGAGCAAUCUGUCUCUGUGCGGGGGACAACCCGGGGAAACUCGGGCUAAUACCGCAUGGGCGGUACCCAGGAUCUGGGAGCCGGGAAAGGUGGCCUCUUUACAAUGCUGCCGUGCAGAGAGGAACUCGCGGGCUAUCAGCUAGUUGGUAGGGUUACGGCCUACCAAGGCGACGACGGCUACGGGGUCUGAGAGGACGACCCCGCACAUUGGAACUGAGACACGGUCCAGACUCCUACGGGAGGCAGCAGUGGGGAAUAUUGGGCAAUGGCCGAAAGGCUGACCCAGCGACGCCGCGUGCGGGAGGAAGCCCUUCGGGGUGUAAACCGCUGUCAGGGGGGACGAAUGGGGACGGCGAGAAUACCGUCGUCCCGUGACGGUACCCCCAAAGGAAGCACCGGCUAACUCUGUGCCAGCAGCCGCGGUAAUACAGAGGGUGCAAGCGUUGUUCGGAAUCACUGGGCGUAAAGCGCGCGCAGGCGGAUGGUUGCGUCUGGAGUGAAAUUUCGCCGCUCAACGGCGAAGCUGCUUUGGAUACGGACCGUCUGGGGACCGGUAGAGGCUGGUAGAAUUGCAGGUGCAGCGGUGGAAUGCGUAGAGAUCUGCAAGAAUACCCGUGGCGAAGGCGGCCAGCUGGGCCGGAUCCGACGCUGAGGCGCGAAAGCGUGGGGAGCAAACAGGAUUAGAUACCCUGGUAGUCCACGCCGUAAACGAUGGGCACUAGGUGCCGGGGGGAGCGACCCCUUCGGUGCCGCAGCUAACGCGAUAAGUGCCCCGCCUGGGGAGUACGGCCGCAAGGCUGAAACUCAAAGGAAUUGACGG